UGGGGAAUUUUGGACAAUGGGGGACACCCUGAUCCAGCCAUCCCGCGUGUGCGAUGUAGGCCUUCGGGUUGUAAAGCACUUUUGGCAGGAAAGAAACGUCAUGGGUUAAUACCCCGUGAAACUGACGGUACCUGCAGAAUAAGCACCGGCUAACUACGUGCCAGCAGCCGCGGUAAUACGUAGGGUGCAAGCGUUAAUCGGAAUUACUGGGCGUAAAGCGUGCGCAGGCGGUUCGGAAAGAAAGAUGUGAAAUCCCAGAGCUCAACUUUGGAACUGCAUUUUUAACUACCGGGCUAGAGUUUGUAAGAGGGAGGUGAAAUUCCGCGGGUAGCAGUGAAAUGCGUAGAUAUGCGGGGGAAAACCGAUGGCAAGGGCAGCCUCCUGGGAUAACACUGACGCUCAGGCAGGAAAGCGUGGGAAGCAAACAGG
RNAcentral lists this ribosomal RNA (429 nucleotides) under Acidobacteriota bacterium. Its description in RNAcentral is "Acidobacteria bacterium partial 16S ribosomal RNA". It matches the Rfam family "Bacterial small subunit ribosomal RNA", at positions 355 to 776 of the family's 1533-position model. The record is from RNAcentral. Lineage: Bacteria; Pseudomonadati; Acidobacteriota.